This 427-nucleotide ribosomal RNA is filed under the name uncultured bacterium. Its description in RNAcentral is "bacterial SSU rRNA". It matches the Rfam family "Bacterial small subunit ribosomal RNA", at positions 355 to 775 of the family's 1533-position model. The record is from RNAcentral.
UGGGGAAUCUUGCGCAAUGGGCGAAAGCCUGACGCAGCAACGCCGCGUGCGGGAAGAAGGCCUUCGGGUCGUAAACCGCUUUCAGGGGGGACGAAGCUUCCGAGGUUAAUAGCCUACGGGGUGACGGUACCCUCAGAAGAAGGACCGGCUAACUACGUGCCAGCAGCCGCGGUGAUACGUAGGGUCCGAGCGUUGUCCGGAAUCAUUGGGCGUAAAGAGCGUGUAGGCGGCUUGGUAGGUCCCGUGUUAAAGCCUGCGGCUCAACCGCAGAAUCGCACGGGAAACCCCCUGGCUAGAGUCCGGAAGAGGAGAGCGGAAUUCCUGGUGUAGCGGUGAAAUGCGCAGAUAUCAGGAAGAACACCCGUGGCGAAGGCGGCUCUCUGGGACGGUACUGACGCUGAGACGCGAAAGCGUGGGGAGCGAACAG